Molecule: transfer RNA, 72 nt
Filed under: Camelus bactrianus (Bactrian camel)
Lineage: Eukaryota; Metazoa; Chordata; Mammalia; Artiodactyla; Camelidae
Also listed under: 1 other name
Rfam family: tRNA
About the family: Transfer RNA (tRNA) molecules are approximately 80 nucleotides in length. Their secondary structure includes four short double-helical elements and three loops (D, anti-codon, and T loops).
Source: Rfam by way of RNAcentral
GUGGGUAUAGCUUAGUGGUAGAGCACAUGCUUAGCUUGCACAACGUCCUGGGUUCAAUUUCCAGUGACUCCA